CUUAUUUUAUUUUUUCUUUCUUCUUCUCUUGCUAUUCUUUUCCCCUAUUCUUCUUCGUCGAGAGUCUAUGAGAAUCAACCGAGAGAAUCAGUUGAAUAAUCUGUGCGGUUAAUGAAGGCUGAUGCUUCUGCCAAAGAUUUGGGUUUGGAGGAAGAAGAAACUUAGGUUUGAGAAAUAAAUGAGUUAAGGUUUCAUUUGAGGCUCAAAGAAGAAUUAGAAGAUGAAGAUGACGGUUUAGUGGAUUAAAUUAAAUGGGUUUAAUCUGAAUUAGAGUAAGAGGUUGAAGAACAUCUUGUAAUUAAGAGGUUCGUUUCUCAGAGAAGUUGAAAUCGAAGUUAAGGUUUGUUCUUGAGUGAAGAAAUCCAGAAAGGUGGAUGAAUCUGUUAAGACCGUGAUGAGUCUCAAGAUAUGAAGAAUUAGAUCGUGGUAAUGUUUUGAUAGAGAAAUUAAUAAGGAAUCGAGAAAUUACAGAGAUAGAAGAUUAAUAACAGUGAUUGUAAAAUUAAGGUUUAGUAUGAAAUUGAGAGGUGAAUUGGGUUGUUGUUAGAUGAACAACAAUGGAUAAAUGUUCAAUUGAAGUUUUGAGGUGGAUUCAGUGAUGAAUCAAUGAACUAGGGUUGUGUUUUGUUCUUCCCUAAAUUAAGAAUUAGGGUUUAGAGAUCGAUUGAGGAUCAUGCCUGAAGCUGUUAGAAGAAUUAGGGUUUGAUUACGACUGUAAGAAGGUGAUGGAGUUAUUAUGAGUUUUGAAUUGGUUGGUGUUGGAGCAGAACUUAUCUGAGGUAAACCUUUCUUUACUCAAUUGAAGUUUGUAUCUUUAUUUAAGUGUUGAUGUGUUGCUAUCUGCGGGUUUUGGGUUUAUGAUUGUUGGUUGUUGUGAUGGGUAUGGAGUCAAAUGAAUGAUUUAGAAAGAGUAAAUGAAUUUGUGUUUGGUAUUACAAGUUUUGGUUACAGGGAAUCGAAGCUACAUGACAAUUGAGCUGAGGUUUUGUUGGUGUAUGAAUGAAACAGUGCUUGUGUUGAUACUGUCGAGAUAUGAGAAUGUAGUUGUAGUUGUUAUUGCAGAACUGGUGUUGGAGGUGGAAGCAUUAGUGGAACUAUAAUUGUAAAAUUGUGGUGAUGAUUAUGAAUGUUAUGAACUGUGUUUAGAUGUUUUGUUAUGUGUUUGGAUGGUGGUUUUAGUUGUAAUUAUGGUGGAGCAGCAAAUUAAUUCUGUGUGGGUGGAAGUGGUUAUGUAAUUACAGUUGGUAAUGGAAUUGUUAUGGAUGUAUGAGUGGAUGAGAGUGUUCAUGAAGGAAUGAAGUAGUUAUGAAGUUGAAUGACAGUAUGAGGGAUCUAUAGGGUGAUGUUGAAGUUGCAGGGAUAUAGGUGUUGGUAUUGUUAUGAUGAGAUGUUGCAGGUGAUGGUGAUUAAAUGAAGUGUAUUGUGUAAUAGAUGAGGAUAUUGGAGUUGAACUGGAAAUGUGAGAAGAAUAACUAGGUUGAAGUUGGUUUAGGUGUAUGUGAUGGUGGUUGUGUGUCUGAAGUGAAGUAUGGAUGAGUACUUAGAGUUUUGCAAUGUUAAUGUAGGGUUAUUGAUGGUCUCAGUCGAGGCUUGCUUAGGACUGCAAUUUCAGUUAGUCUAUUAACAACAAUCGAUUCAAGGGAUGAACCGGUGGAUCUUGGAUCUCGAGGUAGGCGUGGCUUGUCAGAAGAGUUUCAGAGACAGAUCAGAGUUGCGCAGCGAAAGCUUCAAGGGUCGAGUUCGUUAGUUGUUUAACUUCUGUUAUGUUUAUUAUGUUGCAUAUUAUAUUUGUAAACCAAACGACUAUUGUAUAUGUAUCAUUUGAGAGAAGUUCUUGUAUAUAUAUAUAUUUCUGAGCGGGACUA
Molecule: long non-coding RNA, 1865 nt
Organism: Papaver somniferum (opium poppy)
Lineage: Eukaryota; Viridiplantae; Streptophyta; Magnoliopsida; Ranunculales; Papaveraceae
Exons: 3
Source: RefSeq, a predicted model, not a curated record